This is a non-coding RNA of Phascolarctos cinereus (koala), 1159 nucleotides long. NCBI's taxonomy places the organism in Eukaryota, Metazoa, Chordata, Mammalia, Diprotodontia, Phascolarctidae. The record is from RefSeq and is a predicted model, not a curated record.
UUUUCUUUGUUUUAACAAUUAAUGCUUUGCAGAAUGGUUUGAGAUCUGGUACUGCUAGCCGCUCUUCUUUCUAUGCUGCGUGUUUCUCAAGGACUUGGAAUAAUUAAGACUUGAUACUUGGAGGACAUUUGAAAUUUCAAAGAGCUCAUCGUGCGCAUUAUCUUUGAGCCUCUGAGAUUGUUGUGAGGUACAACUGGAACAGCUCGGGAGUAUCAGAUAAGGCAUCUCUUUGGCCUGUCCUUCAUCUGUCCCCAACAUUUAGACCCAAAUGAAAUCAGGCUAAAUAAACAUCAAGGGCAUCCUUGGAAGAAGAAGAAAAGUAAACAAAGGAGAAUGUAUAUUUGUUCUGUGAAUGCUUUUGUGUAAAUAGGGCAUGGCAUCCAAGGAGUCAAGGUUGAUAAGACUGAGGGCAGAAGACAAACAAUGAGCUGAUAUUUUGUGAGCAGGAUCAAUGGCUCCAAAGCUGCCACUUCCCAUUCAAUCUCCUCCAGCACGGGGCAACAUCUUGGCAAGAACCAAGGAGGGACAUUUUGCCCCAAGUCCUGAUAGAACUUGCCCCAUACCAUCCUGCUUUUUGACUGGUGUGUCUGAAAAUGAGAAGAAAAUGAAUUCACUGGGGAGACUCUUUCACUGUGACAGGGAAGACAAAGAGGCGGGGAAAGACCAAGGGACUGUUUGAGGGGAGUGAGCUUAGUCAGACCCGCAGCAAAAUUGAGCAAAACAGGAACCUGGGAAAAAUCCACACAGACCCUCUCUUAAUGACAUUCCGGGUGUUUGCUGGCUUUCCUCCAAUUUAUAGGAGACAGAUCUGGCAACCACAGAGGCUGAGGCCUUCUCUGUUGGUGACACUGUCACACUUGUCAUCAGAGAGAGGACGGUGGAUGAAAUGGCAGCCUUGGCAAAGUAGCUGCUGAAGAAGACACUCUGCUUGCUCCUUUCAUAAGAUACUGACAUAGAAAAUGAGAUGCAAUCUCUAAUCUAUGUGUCAGGCCAAGUGCUCAACAACUGAGCAGCUAGGAUCAUUUCUUGCAACCUGACAUUUUAGAUUCAUAAGAGUAGGGCAUUUUCAAGCUGUACUUUUUAGCGUUGGUGGGGGGAGUUGUAAUAAUAGCCAGCAUUUGCAUAGCACCUUAAGGUUUGCAAAGUGCUUUACCUGUUA